This 466-nucleotide ribosomal RNA is filed under the name Lymantria dispar (gypsy moth). RNAcentral describes it as "partial large subunit ribosomal RNA". Lineage: Eukaryota; Metazoa; Arthropoda; Insecta; Lepidoptera; Erebidae. The record is from RNAcentral.
UGCCCACUGAUUAAUAAUUAAAGGGCUGCAGUAUUUUGACUGUACAAAGGUAGCAUAAUCAUUAGUCAUUUAAUUGAUGACUUGUAUGAAAGAUUGGAUGAAAUAUGAACUGUCUUUAAAUUAAAUAUAGAAUUUAAUUUUUAAGUUAAAAAGCUUAAAUAAUUUAAAAAGACGAGAAGACCCUAUAGAGUUUUAUUAUUUAUUUAAAUUAAUAUUUUUAUAAUUAGUUAUAUUUAUGUUAAUUUUUAAUAAAUAAUUUUAUUGGGGUGAUAAAAAAAUUUAAUUAACUUUUUUUAAUUUAAAAACAUAAAUAAGUGAAUAUUUGAUCCAUAUUUUAUGAUUAUAAGAAAAAAUUACCUUAGGGAUAACAGCGUAAUUUUAUUUUUUAGUUCAAAUAAGAAAUAGAGUUUGCGACCUCGAUGUUGGAUUAAGAUAAAAUUUAAAUGCAGAAGUUUAAAAGUUUUGA